This 63-nucleotide transfer RNA is filed under the name Physomerus sp. Its description in RNAcentral is "tRNA-Arg". Lineage: Eukaryota; Metazoa; Arthropoda; Insecta; Hemiptera; Coreidae. The record is from RNAcentral.
AGUAAUGAAGUAAAAUUACAUUUAGUUUCGACCUAAAAUUAGGGAAAACUUAACCCCUUACUU